Molecule: transfer RNA, 68 nt
Filed under: Dendropoma gregarium
Lineage: Eukaryota; Metazoa; Mollusca; Gastropoda; Littorinimorpha; Vermetidae
Description: tRNA-Thr
Rfam family: tRNA
About the family: Transfer RNA (tRNA) molecules are approximately 80 nucleotides in length. Their secondary structure includes four short double-helical elements and three loops (D, anti-codon, and T loops). Further hydrogen bonds mediate the characteristic L-shaped molecular structure. tRNAs have two regions of fundamental functional importance: the anti-codon, which is responsible for specific mRNA codon recognition, and the 3' end, to which the tRNAs corresponding amino acid is attached (by aminoacyl-tRNA synthetases). tRNAs cope with the degeneracy of the genetic code in two manners: having more than one tRNA (with a specific anti-codon) for a particular amino acid; and 'wobble' base-pairing, i.e. permitting non-standard base-pairing at the 3rd anti-codon position.
Source: RNAcentral
UACAAUAUAGCUUAACUUCAAAGCUUUGGUCUUGUAAGCCAAAAAUAAGAAAAAUUUCUUUAUUGUAA